GAUCGGUGAUGAGGAACGUGGCCGAGGGCUUCCCAACCAGGGGCACUGGAAGCGGACGGAAGUGCAAAGGCCAGCAGUCUCUGGCCUUUCCUGCGGAUGGCGCAGCAGCCAGCGUCUCUCGUGCCCUCCCCAGCAGUAUCGGCGUGAGACGGACGCCACCACGAUGCUCCACUGAGCAGGAAGGAGAAUGGGGGCCUCUGGGAGCCCAAGCCCCCUGUCAACAGCGGGCACUGCCCUGCGCUUGCUCCCGUGUCCUAUCUGGAAGGUUCCUGAAGGAGGGAGAACAUUCACGCCCCCUUCUGAGAUUCCCCAAACUAACAGCUAACGUAGAUCGCUGGCUCACCCCGUCUCUGAGCUGGGCUCUCGGCACGAAGGCGGCUGAUGUCAUGUCACCGCCACCCUGCGUGAAGGCACCUUUGUGACCCCACUCCAGAGACGAGGAACCGGAAGCCCAAGCGGCCAGCCUCAGACCACAGGCCGAAGCCCAAAGCGCCAGGAUCUGCAGCCCAGGCAGCCUGGCCCCGGAGGCUGCCCCUCAACCGCCCCGCAGAGCCGCCUCCCAAGUGGCAAUGGAGGAA
RNAcentral lists this long non-coding RNA (578 nucleotides) under Equus caballus (horse). RNAcentral's name for it is "lncRNA (ENSECAG00000045064.1)". The record is from RNAcentral. Lineage: Eukaryota; Metazoa; Chordata; Mammalia; Perissodactyla; Equidae.